GACGAACGCUGGCGGCGUGCUUAACACAUGCAAGUCGAACGGAAAGGCCCUGCUUUUGUGGGGUGCUCGAGUGGCGAACGGGUGAGUAACACGUGAGUAACCUGCCCUUGACUUUGGGAUAACUUCAGGAAACUGGGGCUAAUACCGGAUAGGAGCUCCCGCUGCAUGGUGGGGGUUGGAAAGUUUCGGCGGUUGGGGAUGGACUCGCGGCUCAUCAGCUUGUUCGUGGGGUAGUGGCAUAGCAAGGCCUUGACGGGUAGCCGGCCUGGGAGGGGGACCGGCCCCAUUGGGACUGAGAUACGGCCCAGACUCGUACGGGAGGCAGGAGAGGAGAGUAGUGCACAAUGGGCGGAAGCCUGAUGCAACAACGCCGUGUGCGGGAAGACAGCCUUCGGGUUGUAAACCGCUGUCGCCUGAGACGAAGCGUGAGUGACGGUAAUGGGUAAAGAAGCACCGGCUAACUACGUG
Molecule: ribosomal RNA, 468 nt
Filed under: uncultured bacterium
Lineage: Bacteria
Description: partial 16S ribosomal RNA
Rfam family: Bacterial small subunit ribosomal RNA
Source: RNAcentral